RNAcentral lists this ribosomal RNA (468 nucleotides) under uncultured bacterium. Its description in RNAcentral is "partial 16S ribosomal RNA". It matches the Rfam family "Bacterial small subunit ribosomal RNA", at positions 28 to 507 of the family's 1533-position model. The record is from RNAcentral.
GACGAACGCUGGCGGCGUGCUUAACACAUGCAAGUCGAACGGAAAGGCCCUGCUUUUGUGGGGUGCUCGAGUGGCGAACGGGUGAGUAACACGUGAGUAACCUGCCCUUGACUUUGGGAUAACUUCAGGAAACUGGGGCUAAUACCGGAUAGGAGCUCCUGCUGCAUGGUGGGGGUUGGAAAGUUUCGGCGGUUGGGGAUGGACUCGCGGCUUAUCAGCUUGUUGGUGGGGUAGUGGCUUACCAAGGCUUUGACGAGUAGCCGGCCUGAGAGGGUGACCGGCCACAUUGGGACUGAGAUACGGCCCAGACUCCUACGGGAGGCAGCAGUGGGGAAUAUUGCACAAUGGGCGGAAGCCUGAUGCAGCAACGCCGCGUGCGGGAUGACGGCCUUCGGGUUGUAAACCGCUUUCGCCUGUGACGAAGCUUGAGUGACGGUAAUGGGUAAAGAAGCACCGGCUAACUACGUG